Molecule: ribosomal RNA, 253 nt
Filed under: uncultured bacterium
Lineage: Bacteria
Description: partial 16S ribosomal RNA
Rfam family: Bacterial small subunit ribosomal RNA
Source: RNAcentral
UACGUAGGGAGCAAGCGUUGUCCGGAAUCAUUGGGCGUAAAGCGCGCGUAGGCGGCCCGAUAAGUCCGUUGUGAAAGUCAAAGGCUCAACCUUUGAAUGCCGAUGGAUACUGUCGGGCUAGAGUCCGGAAGAGGCGAGUGGAAUUCCUGGUGUAGCGGUGGAAUGCGCAGAUAUCAGGAGGAACACCGAUAGCGAAGGCAGCUCGCUGGGACGGUACUGACGCUGAGGCGCGAAAGCGUGGGGAGCGAACAGG